Molecule: long non-coding RNA, 297 nt
Filed under: Triticum aestivum (bread wheat)
Lineage: Eukaryota; Viridiplantae; Streptophyta; Magnoliopsida; Poales; Poaceae
Description: long non-coding RNA (TAES_LNC003518)
Source: RNAcentral
UAGUACAACAAAGAUGUACAAUUUCACUAGGACGAAUCAACAUGGGCACCGACGCAGCAAUUCAAAACAUUUCAAAAACAGGAUCAGCACCCAGCGGAGAUACUAUACACGUUCCUCGAUCCAUUCAGACUACCAACACAGCACAUUCCAGUGACCGGCUAACACUGUAGACGACUACCGACACAGGGAAAAAUGUCAUCGUGCAAGAGAGAUUAGCUGCACCUUCGUCAUUCAGAACUCCGCUUCGGGAGGAGCCCGGUAAUACGCGGGGACGGUAGCAGGGAAGAACAUUUGCCU